RNAcentral lists this ribosomal RNA (274 nucleotides) under uncultured bacterium. RNAcentral's name for it is "partial 16S ribosomal RNA". It matches the Rfam family "Bacterial small subunit ribosomal RNA", at positions 523 to 796 of the family's 1533-position model. The record is from RNAcentral.
AUACGGAGGGUGCGGGCGUUAAUCGGAAUUACUGGGCGUAAAGCGUACGUAGGCGGUUGGUUAAGUUAGAUGUGAAGGCCCCGGGCUUAACCUGGGAACUGCAUUUAAAACUGACGAACUAGAGUUGAGUAGAGGGGAGUGGAAUUUCAGGUGUAGCGGUGAAAUGCGUAGAGAUCUGAAGGAACACCAGUGGCGAAGGCGACUCCCUGGACUCGAACUGACGCUGAGGUACGAAAGCGUGGGUAGCAAACGGGAUUAGAAACCCUAGUAGUCC